Long non-coding RNA from Ictalurus punctatus (channel catfish), 4439 nucleotides. The record is from Ensembl. NCBI's taxonomy places the organism in Eukaryota, Metazoa, Chordata, Actinopteri, Siluriformes, Ictaluridae.
CCCCACACACAUCUACAUACAGGAUCAGGUUGAAAUAGAUAAAACAAUGGUGUAUGUACAUGUUUUGGUUUUCUCCACUUAUGAGUCACUCAGUUCAAUAUCAAUCUGUCAUGCUAAAAAAGGGCUGAGUUGCAAAAUCGUACAGGAAAUAUGGUGCAUCACAAUAUCACUUUACAGCAUCGCAUGUGUAAUGGCUUGAACAUUGCUUCAAGUGGUCCAGAGAGAUCACUCUCAGCCAGGGGAGUAGCCAGGAGUUAAUUUCAAGAGGCGGGUGGAAAUGUACUAUACAACAUUAUAUUGUGAAAUGUGACAUGCUCAUGCUUUUUGGGUGGAUGCCGGACAGUAGGAGUAGGGGAAGCAUGCAUGAUUCUGAUUGGUUAAAUCUGGUGCUCGCAAUAGCAUUAAAAUGUUAAUAAACAAACUCAGGCUAUUUGAGUAUGAAAUUGUAAUGGAAUCUUUUAUGAACAUCAUUACAUACAACAUAACUUGAUGCGUAUAUAUAUUCAGUUAUAAGCACCCACAAGUAAGCAUUUGGAACUGAUAUAAAAUAUUUCAGGGGGGUUCAAACCCAAAAUCCAGCCCUCUAGCGACGCCUCAGCUCUCAGUCAACAUCAGUUUAUUAAAAGCACUGCUUUCUCUCUUUUAUACCUGUUUUUUCUUAACAAAAGGAGGCUUAGGCUACUUAUGCAUGUGAUUUGUGAGAUCAAAUCGUAGCCAGGUGUCUGAAAGAGAGCAUUACUGUCCGGCUCGCUGUGUGGGAACGACAGCCUUUCUCCCUCGACCUGUCAAUCAGUGUGACAUGAGGAAACUUGUUCAACUUCACCCUCUCUGAAUGGUAGCUGUGAGACUGGCUAUGACUGAACUGGAGAAGAAAAUUCCCGUUUUUCCAGUUCCCGUUAUUCAUGUUCCUGUUUUACAUGUUAUAGAACAGAGAUUGAUUAAUGGCACAUGUCAUUACGUCCCCACACCACGCCAUCCGACGUUCCCUCCAGAAUUUCGAAAUACAGUUCGUCUUCGUUAUGGUACCGUAUACAGUUUUGGGUGUUUUUUAUUUAAAAUUUUACAAAAGCUUCAAGUGCAGUUAAUUAUUUGUCAUGCUAUACGUGCAAUUGGACGACUGCUUGAAGCCGUGGGCUGCGUCCAAAACCACGUACUUACCUGCUAUAUAGUAGCUGAGAUACAUGUAUUUCACCUACUAUAUGCAUGUAUUUCACCUACUAUUUAGUAGGUGAAAUACUUGUAUAUAGUAGGUGAAAUACUUGUAUAUAGCAGGUGAAAUACAUGUAUAUAGUAGGUGAAAUACAAGUUUUUUGGCUACGAUAUAGUAGGUGAAAUACUUGUAUAUAGUAGAAUAAGUGUAUAUAGUAGGUAAAAUACAUGAAUAUAGUAGGUGAAAUACAUGUAUAUAGUAGGUGAAAUACAUGUAAGUAGUAGGUGAAAUACAUGUAUAUAGUAGAAUACGUGUAUAUAGUAGGUGAAAUACACAUGUUUUGGCUACUAUAUAGUAGGUGAAAUACAUGUAUGUAGUACAAUACGUGUAUAUAGUAGGUGAAAUACUUGUACAUAGUAGGUGAAAUACAUGUAUAUAGUAGAAUACGUGUAUAUAGUUGGUGAAAUACUUGUAUAUAUUAGGUGAAAUACACGUAUUUCGGCUACAAUAUAGUAGAUGAAAUACAUGUAUAUGGUAGAAUACAUGUAUAUAGUAGGUGAAAUACAUGUAUAUAGUGGAAUACGUGUAUAUAGUAGGUGAAAUACACGUUUUUUGGUUACGAUAUAGUAGGUGAAAUACAUGUAUAUAGUAGAAUAUGUGUAUAUAGUAGGUGAAAGACAUGUAUAUAGUAGGUGAAAUACACGUAUUUCGGCUACGAUAUAGUAGGUGAAAUACAUGUAUAUAGUAGAAUACAUGUAUAUAGUAGGUACAAUACAUGUAUAUAGUAGAAUAUGUGUAUAUAGUAGGUACAAUACAUGUAUAUAGUAGAAUAUGUGUAUAUAGUAGGUGAAAGACAUGUAUAUAGUAGGUGAAAUACACGUAUUUCGGCUACGAUAUAGUAGGUGAAAUACAUGUAUAUAGUAGAAUACAUAUAUAUAGUAGGUAAAAUACAUGUAUAUAGUAGAAUACGUGUAUAUAGUAGGUGAAAUACAUGUAUUUCGGCUACGAUAUAGUAGAUGAAAUACAUGUAUAUGGUAGAAUACAUGUAUAUAGUAGGUGAAAUACAUGUAUAUAGUAGAAUACGUGUAUAUAGUAGGUGAAAUACAUGUAUAUAGUAGGUGAAAUACAUGUAUAUAGUAGAAUACGUGUAUAUAGUAGGUGAAAGACAUGUAUAUAGUAGAAUACGUGUAUAUAGUAGGUGAAAGACAUGUAUAUAGUAGGUGAAAUACAUGUAUUUCGGCUACGAUAUAGUAGAUGAAAUACAUGUAUAUGGUAGAAUACAUGUAUAUAGUAGGUGAAAUACAUGUAUAUAGUAGAAUACGUGUAUAUAGUAGGUGAAAUACAUGUAUAUAGUAGGUGAAAUAUACGUAUUUCGGCUACGAUAUAGUAGGUGAAAUACAUGUAUAUAGUAGAAUACAUGUAUAUAGUAGGUACAAUACAUGUAUAUAGUAGAAUACGUGUAUAUAGUAGGUGAAAUACAUGUAAGUAAUAGGUGAAAUACAUGUAUAUAGUAGGUGAAACACACGUAUUUCAGCUACGAUAUAGUAGGUGAAAUACAUGUAUAUGGUAGAAUAUAUGUAUAUAGUAGGUGAAAUACAUGUAUAUAGUUUUUGAAAUACUUGUAUAUAUUAGGUGAAAUACACGUAUUUCGGCUACAAUAUAGUAGGUGAAAUACAUGUAUAUGGUAGAAUACAUGUAUAUAGUAGGUGAAAUACAUGUAUAUAGUAGGUGAAAUACAUGUAUAUAGUAGAAUACGUGUAUAUAGUAGGUGAAAUACAUGUCAGUAAUAGGUGAAAUACAUGUAUAUAGUAGGUGAAACACACGUAUUUCGGCUACGAUAUAGUAGGUAAAAUACAUGUAUAUGGUAGAAUACAUGUAUAUAGUAGGUGAAAUACAUGUAUAUGGUAGAAUACGUGUAUAUAGUAUGUGAAAUACAUGUAUAUAGUAGGUGAAAUACUUGUAUAUAGUAGGUGAAAUAAAUGUAUAUAGUAGAAUACAUGUAUAUAGUAGGUGAAAUACCUGUAUAUAGUAGAAUACGUGUAUAUAGUAGGUGAAAUACACGUAUAUGGUAAAUACAUGUAUAUAGUAGGUGAAAUACAUGUAUAUAGUAGGUGAAGUACAUGUAUAUGGUAGAAUACGUGUAUAUAGUAGGUGAAAUACUUGUAUAUAGUAGAAUACGUGUAUAUAGUAGGUGAAAUACUUGUAUAUAGUAGGUGAAAUACAUGUAUAUGGUAAAAUACAUGUAUAUAGUAGGUGAAAUACUUGUAUACCGUAUGUGAAAUACUUGUAUGUAGUAGGUGAAAUACAUGUAUAUAGUAGAAUACGUGUAUAUAGUAGGUGAAAUACAUGUAUAUAGUAGAAUACGUCUAUAUUGUAGGUGAAAUACAUGUAAAUAGUAGAAUACGUGUAUAUAGUAGGUGAAAUACAUGUUUAUAGUAGGUGAAAUACACGUAUUUCGGCUACGAUAUAGUAGGUGAAAUACAUGUAUAUAGUAGAAUACGUGUAUAUAGUAGGUGAAAUACAUGUAUAUAGUAGGUGAAAUACAUGUAUAUAGUAGAAUACAUGUAUAUAGUAGGUGAAAUACAUGUAUAUAGUAGGUGAAAUACUUGUAUAUUAGGUGAAAUACUUGUAUAUGCAAGCAUUUCACUUGCUAUAUACAAGUAUCUCGUCAGCAAAAACUUCCCCAUAUCAACAGAUACACGUUCUGUAAAGCCGUUUAUGUGGAGUGUCUAGCCUACAAAUCCCUGCGCAGAUUGUAUCUAAAGAAACAGUGACAAUCUACAGCAAUAAUAUAAACCUGUAAUUUGCCUUGUAGCCCGAGCUACUGUCAAAGCUGCGGUUAUAGAAAAUAAAUCUCAACACCUUCCGACCAAUCGGAUUUGAGAUUUCGACAGGGCUAUAAUAAUGUAAUAAUAAUCAGGUUUCGUCGUGUGUCUUAGUAAUGAUAUAUCGACUCAGCCCUAGUUCGGUUUUCCGUUUUCGUUUAAUGCUCUUAGCAUACCAGUGUGGUUCAUUAUAAUGUGCCAUCCAAACACUGUCAUAAAGUUUUUGGCUAUGGAUGGCUCACAGCACUGGGAAGUGAUGUGUAUGUGUGUGUGUGUGUAUGUGUGUGUGUGUGUGUGUUAAUUAGAGGUCGUGCAGGGAGAGAGGCUUGAGAUUCCACACACUCAAGGCCUCUGAAUCAAACAACCUGGUGCUUUUUGGUGGUUUUUUUUGCACUUUCAUGCCAACUGGUAUCAAUCCAGCACCAGUGGAGCAAAAUGCUCAGGACACGGUCUUUAUAAUGAGG